UCCAGGCAUGGUGCUGUGUGCCUGUAGUCCCAGCUACUUGGAAGGAUGAGGUGGGAGUAUCGCUUGAGGCAAGGAGUUCUGGGCUGUAGUGUGCUAUGCCAAUCUGGUGUCCACACUAAGUUCAGCAUCAAUAUGGUGAUCUCCUGGGAGCAGGGGACCACCAGGUUGCCUAGGGGGGUGAACCAGCCCAGGUCAGAAACGGAGCAGGUCAAAACUCCCAUGCUGAUCAGUAGUGGGAUAGCACCUGUGAAUAGCCACUGCACUCCAGCCUGGGCAGCAUAGCGAGACACUGUCUCA
This 297-nucleotide signal recognition particle RNA is filed under the name Cebus imitator (Panamanian white-faced capuchin). RNAcentral describes it as "Metazoan signal recognition particle RNA (ENSCCAG00000003061.1)". It matches the Rfam family "Metazoan signal recognition particle RNA". From Rfam's summary of the family: The signal recognition particle (SRP) is a universally conserved ribonucleoprotein. It is involved in the co-translational targeting of proteins to membranes. The record is from RNAcentral. Lineage: Eukaryota; Metazoa; Chordata; Mammalia; Primates; Cebidae.